Molecule: ribosomal RNA, 492 nt
Filed under: uncultured bacterium
Lineage: Bacteria
Description: partial 16S ribosomal RNA
Rfam family: Bacterial small subunit ribosomal RNA
Source: RNAcentral
AGUGAACGCUGGCGGUAGGCCUAACACAUGCAAGUCGAACGGCAGCACAGUAAGAGCUUGCUCUUACGGGUGGCGAGUGGCGGACGGGUGAGGAAUACAUCGGAAUCUACUUUUUCGUGGGGGAUAACGUAGGGAAACUUACGCUAAUACAGCAUACGACCUACGGGUGAAAGCAGGGGAUCUUCGGACCUUGCGCGAUUGAAUGAGCCGAUGUCGGUUUAGCUAGUUGGCGGGGUAAAGGCCCACCAAGGCGACGAUCCGUAGCCGGUCUGAGCGGAUGAUCAGCCACACUGGAACUGAGACACGGUCCAGACUCCUACGGGAGGCAGCAGUAGGGAAUAUUACACAAUGGGCGCAAGCCGGAUCCAGCCAUACCGCGUGUGUGAAGAAGGCCUUCGGGUUGUAAAGCCCUUUUGUUAGGAAAGAAAAGCAGCAGGUUAAUACCCCACUGUUCUGACGGUACCCAAAGAAUAAGCACCGGCUAACUUCGUG